This 88-nucleotide transfer RNA is filed under the name Armatimonadota bacterium. RNAcentral's name for it is "tRNA-Leu". The record is from RNAcentral. Lineage: Bacteria; Bacillati; Armatimonadota.
GGAAACGCUUAUAGGCUAUAGACAGACGUAGCGGACUUAGAAUCCGUUGCCACAAGGUAUGUGGGUUUGAUUCCCACCUUGUCCACCA